GUGUAUUUAUAGAGCAUUAAUGAUGUCUGAUUACCUCAUGGGUCGGGCCUUAACUUGGGCUCUGGCUUGGGCCAUGAGUGGGCUUGGGCCCUAACCCAGGCCCUUAAGACCUAUUGAAUGCAGGGGCUUCUAUUUUCACUAAGUUUUGGAGUUGUCGGCUUGGGCUCUAAUCUUAUCGGGUCUGCUGGAGUAGCCGGCUUGGACCGAUUACUUACCUUGAUGACUUACAUUGGUUAUACGAGGUGUAGGUUAUUCUUCUAGAUAUAUAGGUUGAAACCGGUACGAGUUAGGCUAACUCGGCCUAGGCUGAAUACUUGGCUGCCUUGAUAUAUGCAUUGUUUGCUUAUUUGGUCGAGUUUGGCUAGGUGUGGUACACCCUUCUUUGCGUUAACUCAACCCCAUUCUUCAAUCCAUGUAAGUUGAUUCUCCACUGCACCUUUUUCAUUCCCAACUUUGUCAUCAUGAUUCUAACUAGGGUUCACCAUGGUAACCCAUUUUGAAUUUAUUCCAUUGUUUUACAGAUCGUGAAUCUACUUCGUGGUCGGUAGUACUCACUUGCUUGGGUGUUGGGAUAUUCUGCUAGCUUUUUCCAGAGAAAAUUAGGAAGGAACAUGUAGUGCCAGAAACUGUCGUUCAAAAUCAAAAGAACAAUACUCUUAAUGAACUGCAGUUUGAGAGAAUAAAUUCCACAGUGAAGAAAGUGCAUUUCUCAGAAAAAGUGGAGGGGCUUCAUCCGAAAAGGAAAUUAUCAAAUUUGGAAUCCUCACAUAAAAGAUUUUCAUUUGUCAGAGCAAAAAGGCAGCGAGUUUCAAAGUCAUUGACCAAUUCUGUGCCAAGUAUGAAACAUUCUUUGACAAAUUAUUGCAGAAACAGAGUGAAUGAAUAUAUAUUUCAAGGUACAGAGUUCCUUCUAACCGGAUUAUCUAGUGAGAAGGAAAGGGACAUGGAAGCACUUAUAAGGAGUUCUGGUGGAGUGGUUCUUUAUGAUAUUCCCUCUCAAAAUUCCUCGGGCAAGCGACAUUCAACUUUAUACCAUUUCCCCAUUGUUCUAUUCUAUGUAUGACAAAGGUUUGUGUACAAUGAUCAAUAUAACCGUUAGUCUUAUAUCAUAAUACUAAUGCUUAAAACUUCUGCUAAU
Long non-coding RNA from Vigna unguiculata (cowpea), 1138 nucleotides. The record is from RefSeq and is a predicted model, not a curated record. Lineage: Eukaryota; Viridiplantae; Streptophyta; Magnoliopsida; Fabales; Fabaceae.